Molecule: long non-coding RNA, 946 nt
Organism: Stomoxys calcitrans (stable fly)
Lineage: Eukaryota; Metazoa; Arthropoda; Insecta; Diptera; Muscidae
Exons: 3
Source: RefSeq, a predicted model, not a curated record
UCUUUGCAAUAACUGUUAUCAAAGCCAAGGCAAUGAACACGCCACAUACACACAUUUGAGUGAAAUCUGUUCAUGAAAAUAGUGAUAAUUAAAUUGAAAGGAAAGACAUUUUUUUCUGGCCCUCAAAAAUGAUAUAAUUUGCACAAAAAAAAGUUUUUGCCUUCAUUUGGGAUGAGAUCAUGGCGCAAUUGUUAAUUAUAUUGUAAACUAUUCCAUUUUGUGCCACCCACUUAAUGGGGAAUUUAUGCAAGGCCAAGCAUUAUUCAAUUUGACAGCAGAAAUACAAGGCGAAAAAGUCAAAUGUGUCAGGCACAGCGCACAGUUUUUCGCAAUACUCAAGUAAAUCAUAUAAAUUUAUGUUGAUACUAAAAUGGACCAAGGAAGAUGGAAAUGAAAGUGAAAAGGGCAGCAGAAAAGAAAAACUGUAGUAAAAUGAAUAUCAAAGGUCAGCAGGAUGGCCGGACGGACAUGCUAUUGUAAGAGGGCCCUUUUUCUCACAGCCGAAAUAUGAAGCAAAAACACUGCUAAUAGCUGAACUGGAAAAUUUUCGAAGAAAAAAAAAUUCCAUUUCAUGAAAUUGUAGUUUGCUUUAAUAUCAUCUCAUAAAGCUAAAUAUAUGGAAAACAUUUUUAGAAUGGUGUAGAAUUUGUUUUUGUGUAGGUUUUGUUGUUUCCUUGUCCUCUAAAUAAAAUUUUCUAAACCCAAUGUAUUGUUGUAGUAUCACAAAUAAUAUUUCUUUUUUGUAUAACAUGAUUUUGAUUUAUAAAGCCUGAAGAUAUGCUAUAUUUCGCUAUAUAAUUUCAAUUGCUUGCUUGUAUGCCUCAUAAAAUACUAAUUAAAUGGCAAAUUCUUGUUCAUGACAACCAGUCAAAAGAAAGCUCAUUUGGCCAUUUUUUUUACAUUAUGCAUGUUUGGAGGUUGUAAAAGUUUUAUGACCAUAAUUUUU